RNAcentral lists this ribosomal RNA (345 nucleotides) under uncultured bacterium. RNAcentral's name for it is "bacterial SSU rRNA". It matches the Rfam family "Bacterial small subunit ribosomal RNA", at positions 556 to 901 of the family's 1533-position model. The record is from RNAcentral.
GGGUGUAAAGGGUGCGCAGGCGGUUCUGUAAGUCAGAUGUGAAAUCCCCGGGCUUAACCUGGGAACUGCGUUUGAAACUGCAGAGCUAGAGUGCGGCAGAGGGAGGUGGAAUUCCAUGUGUAGCAGUGAAAUGCGUAGAGAUAUGGAAGAACAUCGAUGGCGAAGGCAACCUCCUGGGCUAGCACUGACGCUCAUGCACGAAAGCGUGGGGAGCAAACAGGAUUAGAUACCCUGGUAGUCCACGCCCUAAACUAUGUCAACUAGUUGUCGGGUCUUAAUAGACUUGGUAACGUAGCUAACGCGUGAAGUUGACCGCCUGGGGAGUACGGUCGCAAGAUUAAAACU